UCACCGUUGAAAUGAAUGAAAACGACGGGACAUCGAUGACGAUGACAGAAGGUGGAGGUCGAUCGAUGGUGAAGACGACGAGUGAUGGUGGAGGUCGAUCGAUGGUGAAGACGACGAGUGAUAGUCAAUCGGUGUUUUGCGCUGCAGUUUUGGCCGCCAUUGUUGUCGAGAGAGAGAGAAAGAUUAGGUUUGUUGUUGUGAUGGUGGAGGUCGAUCGAUGGUGAAGACGACGAGUGAAUUUCAAUCGGUGUUUUGCGCUGCAGUUUUGGCCGCCAUUGUUGUCGAGAG
This 288-nucleotide long non-coding RNA is filed under the name Aquilegia coerulea. Its description in RNAcentral is "long non-coding RNA (ACOE_LNC000154)". The record is from RNAcentral. Lineage: Eukaryota; Viridiplantae; Streptophyta; Magnoliopsida; Ranunculales; Ranunculaceae.